This 445-nucleotide ribosomal RNA is filed under the name uncultured bacterium. Its description in RNAcentral is "partial 16S ribosomal RNA". It matches the Rfam family "Bacterial small subunit ribosomal RNA", at positions 354 to 796 of the family's 1533-position model. The record is from RNAcentral.
GUGAGGAAUAUUGGUCAAUGGGCGAGAGCCUGAACCAGCCAAGUCGCGUGAAGGAAGACGGCCCUACGGGUUGUAAACUUCUUUUGCAAUGGAAUAAAAAGAGUUACGUGUAAUUCAUUGUAUGUACAUUGCGAAUAAGGAUCGGCUAACUCCGUGCCAGCAGCCGCGGUAAUACGGAGGAUCCGAGCGUUAUCCGGAUUUAUUGGGUUUAAAGGGUGCGUAGGCGGAUUGGAAAGUCAGCGGUGAAAGUUUGCAGCUUAACUGUAAAAUUGCCAUUGAAACUGUCAGUCUUGAGUGCAAAUGAGGUAGGCGGAAUGUGUUGUGUAGCGGUGAAAUGCAUAGAUAUAACACAGAACACCAAUUGCGAAGGCAGCUUACUGGGAUGCAACUGACGCUGAGGCACGAAAGCGUGGGGAUCAAACAGGAUUAGAUACCCUAGUAGUCC